CAACAUAUUCCCACUGCUCUCAACCGAGACCUCUAUAGGCAGUAUAAUACUUCGUCUCUCAUACCUGUAAGUGAGGGAUUUACAGGAAUAAGUUUCGCAU
This 100-nucleotide non-coding RNA is filed under the name unclassified sequences. RNAcentral describes it as "PhotoRC-II RNA". It matches the Rfam family "PhotoRC-II RNA". The record is from RNAcentral.